GAUGGCAAAUCAUGGAUAAAUCGUCAAACCUCAAUAUCAGUCAUAUGAUAGAUUUGAUUAGCUCAAGUCCAGUUGUGACUUCUAUAGAAACUCUUUUCCAUCAAUCACACUACUAUGACCAUAGAUUUUUGGAUUUAGUCUUUCAAAUCUCAUAGAACUACUCAUCUCUAUUAGGAUCGAAAGAUCCUAUCUUGAUGCGUACCCCACUCCUAUAGUGGACCAACU
RNAcentral lists this long non-coding RNA (225 nucleotides) under Elaeis guineensis (African oil palm). Its description in RNAcentral is "long non-coding RNA (EGUI_LNC017790)". Lineage: Eukaryota; Viridiplantae; Streptophyta; Magnoliopsida; Arecales; Arecaceae. The record is from RNAcentral.